Molecule: long non-coding RNA, 226 nt
Organism: Pollicipes pollicipes
Lineage: Eukaryota; Metazoa; Arthropoda; Thecostraca; Pollicipedomorpha; Pollicipedidae
Exons: 3
Source: RefSeq, a predicted model, not a curated record
CCCGGGCCACGAGCGACCACACGCGCCAUGUCCAGCCCGUCCGGUCCUUGUCGUCAUGAUUAGGAGGCGCAAAAAGAGCCUGCAUUAGCGUCAAUCCAGCGCUGCCAUGGUCGCAAACGGCACUCCCGCCAAGGGUCCGGACGGGCAGCCGCUCGGAUACCAGGAGCCGACGCCUUUCUACACGCAUCUGCUGCGCUUCCUUUUCGGACAUGUCGGCUUGUUUCUU